GUUUUCAAGCAUCUCGGGCGAAAAAACUUAAGUACAGAAAAACAGAUUGACAAUUUUUUAGAGGAUUAGAUUAGUUAGUGGAGAGACCACUCAACAUAUUUUAAAGCUGAUGCUCUAAGAAGUAUCUAUAGCAAAUUUUAGGCUUUGACUUCACUGCGAGCUGCUCAUACGAAAUUAUCAACCAUAGUAACUAUUGGGUAUAUGUCAUAAAAAAAUCGAUAACAAUUUUCAUGCAACAUGGAAACUUAUUGAUAUUUUCCUUCGCAUCCAAGUGGGCUGUGAAAAAAUUCCUAUAUCCCAGCGCAGAGAACAAAAAACUUUCAGUCUGAAUCGACUACUCGUCUAGAGCACAUUGUGAGCUUGUGAAAAAAAAGGAAAAAAUAAUAAUUAAAAAUAUAAAAAUAAAUAAUUUUUUUUUCGCGCGAUUUUCGGAAAUAAAAGCUAAAAGUAAUUCGAUAAAAUGCGUCCAUCACCGUUUAACUACAGCAAUUCUUCGCGUUCACGUGGCACGUUGGGGGGAGUCAGGCUGUCGAAGAAGGCUCGUCGCGCUUUGCAGAACUUCUUGAAGGAGCUGGUAGCGCUUCAGAUUGUCAUCGACAAUUUUCAGAUGUUAUCUAACCACUUGGAGGAGGAGACCGCCGAUUAGUUCUUAUUCUAUAAAGAAAUGCACGCUUUUGCUACAAUUUACACCGAAAAAAAAAACUGUUCAGGCAGCAUUUUCGUGGCCACGUGAAAAUUACAAAAUUAAGCAUCUCCGGCAAAAAACAAGCUUAAAUACAGAAAAAAUGUUAGACAAUUUUCAGAUGUCAGCUGACUAAUUGAAUAUUGAGGAAGAUUACACAUAUUUACACCGAAAAAAAAAAACAUAGUUCAGACAGCUCAUACUCUUUCCAGCAAAUAAAAUUGGAUAAUUAGGCAUCUCGCGCAAGACACAAACUUAAACACAGAAAAAAAGGUCAACAAUUUUCAGAUGUCAGCUGACAUUGAAUACAGAUGAAGACUAUUUCUAAUUAUAUAACGAAAAACACAGUUUUGCUACAAUUUACACCGAGAAAAGAACUUUUCACAUAGUUUAGGCAGAUUUUCCGUGGCCACUUUCAAAUUACGAGCUUAAUCGUUUUUAAGCAUCUUUGACAAGAAACAAACUUAAACACAGAAAAAAAGAUCGACAAUUUUAAAAUGUCAGCUGACAUUGAAUACGAAUGAAGACUUUUUUUAAUUCUAUAACGAAAAACACACUUUUGCUACAUUUUACACCGAGAAAAGAACUUUUCACAUAGUUUAGGCAGCUUUUUCCGUGGCCACUUUAAAAUUGCGAAAUUAACCGUUUUCAAGCAUCUCGGCCCCAAGAAACUAACUUAAAUACAGAAGAAAACACGAUGUUUGCCGCUUGCUCAGCAAAUACGCUUGACACUGAGAUUACCAAUUCAAGAACACGAGGAGAACACUAGGCAAAAGUCACGGCUGCUUAU
RNAcentral lists this small RNA (1472 nucleotides) under Drosophila mojavensis. RNAcentral's name for it is "GI26119". The record is from RNAcentral. Lineage: Eukaryota; Metazoa; Arthropoda; Insecta; Diptera; Drosophilidae.